Harpia harpyja (harpy eagle) is the source of this 2854-nucleotide long non-coding RNA. RefSeq lists it as uncharacterized. The transcript has 3 exons. The record is from RefSeq and is a predicted model, not a curated record. NCBI's taxonomy places the organism in Eukaryota, Metazoa, Chordata, Aves, Accipitriformes, Accipitridae.
AGCCUACUCCAGUCAGAGGCUGGUGGGCGAAAUGGCAGGAGAAUCGGGUAGAGGAUGCUCAGAAACCGCAGGUCAGCUAAGAUCUACUUGUCCCCAUCUUCAUUCCCAGUAGACGUAUCUGACCCCAGACCGGUACAGAACUGCAGGAGCUUCUCAAGAUUUGCCCAGGAUUUAAAUGAGAGCAAAAAGGUGGAGCUGUGUCAGGGCCCGGGCAGGUAGCUGAAGGCAGGAUGCUGCCUGCAGAGGCUGAGAAACCCCACUGCAAAGCCAAGCGUGUUCGUGAGCAGCGUGGCUGUGCUCAGGGUGCCUCAGAAGUGCACCCUGCUUAAGAAAAGGCGUGGGCAGGAACGGGGAAGAAGAAACUGGCCUGUGUUUCUUCGUGGAGCACGCUGUGCCUAAUUCUAGCGAGUGUGGUUAACCCUGGGGUUUCAAAACUAUCACGCUUUAUCUGUGCAGCUUAGUAACAAGAAGAAAAACGAGGCCUUAUGAUGAUCCCAUGACUGGAGCAAAAGCAGAGGCUGCAUGAUGGUUGCUGCUGGUGGUGGUUGCCCCUCGCCUGCUGCUACAGCAAAGCUUGCGUGCCAGCCAGGUUGGUAGCCUUUGCUUGCAUAGUGUGUCCGUGUUAAAUAAUAUGCCAACAACUGGCCUUCCGGAUGAUUUUGGAAAGAACACUGUGGAAUGAUCUUUGGCUGCAUCAGCAUCUUUCUGUGGUGGUGCCGAGCCAAGGAAAGACCAGAAAGUGCCCAGUAAACAUUUUGCUGACAAUAGCAGGCAAGAGGCAUGAAAAGAAACCAACCUAUCUGGUUUCAGGGAUUCACUAUAGCUGAUCAGCUCCAAAAUCAGUAGAUUCUGGCUUGUAGUACUGACAAGCUUGUUCCUGCUACUUCUGAAACCUUCAGAGUCAGUACGGGCAUUGCCAGAGACUGGAGCUGCCAGCAAACCUCUCCUAGCAAAUGCCUUCUUGCUACCAGGAGAAGGAACUUUGAGCUAUUUCUUGUGGCACAACUGUAGCCCUGCUGCUGACAGCCGAGCAGCUUUAUGUAGGUUUUAGCCUCCUGGUCCUCGCUCAGAUACGCUUCUUCCUAUUCUGUCACACGAAACGAAGCCCCCAGCUUAUCCCGAGCCCUCCAGAUGGCUGCCCCACAGCACAAACCGAAGCAAUCACUGCAGUGGCCUGUGCCGUGACAGCAAAUCCAAGCACAGCAGCCUCCAGCCCUGUGCAUCCAGCAGUGACACGAGUAUAUUCAGUUAACCUUUUCAGACAGGCAUCAGGCGCUAUUGCAUCUCAGCCCCAAUUCCUUAAAGCCAGCUCCUAAUAAGUCACAGGCCAGAUGGACUUGCAUAACCUCGUGCUUUCCACCACCCUUCCUCUCUACCAGCUCCCUAAAGAAGAGAAGCCCCCUCAGACACAGACUGUGCUCGGUGCAGGUGCCAGUGCAACGUGUGGGCGCAGCGAAAAGCCGCCUCGGGUAUUUCACAUCCCUGCUCCUACCUGCCUCCCUCCCUCCACCUCUGUGCCUGUGCUGGUGGCUAGCUGAAAGAAAGAAAACCUGAUAGUCAGAGCUGCUUCAUUUUGAAUUGUCCUUUGCAGUGCCUCUCUCACCUACUCCGGUACGUCAAGCAAUUCAAGCCGGGGUUAUAGCAAAGAACAGGAAGGAAAUUUAAGCUGUUGGUCCCCAGCUGUCGGAGCCACGCUGCUGUGGUCCUUCUUCCCCCCACCCUCCAGCUGCAUGUUCCUGCCUCGUCUCUUGACCCGGCAGUGAUGCUUGAUGCAUGCUGGUUCAGGGGGUAAAACUAGCAGAAAACCGGCAUUAAGAAGAAGGGACAAAUUUCUGCUGGUUUAGCUGAGCAGGCUCAAAUCAGACUGGACAAACUAUUUAACUGCGCUAAGGUGCGUCCUUAGAGUACAGGUAAGGGCCAGGGGCCAUGCAAGGGCAGCAAAGCCUUUUCCUCUAAACCCCUGGAGGGAUAAAUUCCCAUGGUGAAGUGACCCUCCCUUUGCUUCCCAUGGAAAGGAUAACCUUUUUUUUUCUUCGGUGAAUCUGUUUUUGAUUGUGUUUUUCCUUCCGAGGACCGGGGGUUUAUUUCCUUGACAAGUUGAUUUCUCGAAUUCAUUGUGUGCUGCAGGGCACAGAAGAUUUAAUCUCACAAGAGAGAUGCCCAGUAACGUAAAGCAAUGAUGUAAUGCCACCCAGCUCCCCCACUGGGUCCUCCAGGGGAGAAAUAUCUACCUGAAACUUCUCCAGCUUCUUGACUGAUCAUAUUCAAACUCCGAUUUAUUUAUCUCUGUUUUGCAUAUCUCCAUCUGCACCGCUUCUUGCACAUCUCCAUGGAGAUGAAGAAACAAGGCUGGAUAAUGCCAUUCUGGCGUUGCCCAGCCGCUGACACGGGUCCCACCAGAUGCUGCACAACCGGGCGCAGAAACCAGCACCCACCCCAGGAGAUCCCAGCGGGGACCUGGUCCAGCGGCUCCUGCACAGCUGGCCGCUAAAGACAGGAUUUCUAAAUGAGCCCGAGAAUUACACAUGCAAAUCCCAAAGGCCUGGAAUUGGGAACAUCUGAGCAACAAUUUGUCCUUGCUAAAGAUGGUGUUGGAGCCAAAAGGCUACAGAUUUCAGGCCUGUUAGACCGGGCAGCAUCCGUGCCUCCAGCUACCAACCCAUCUGCCAGCACCGGGCUCUGCGGUCAGGUUUUGUCCCCGUGGCAGGACAGACAGAUUUCUGCUGCACCGGGAGGCUGCACCUGGUGCUGCCCAGCACCGUGAGUUGCAGAAUUGCUGUUCUGUGCAGGCAUUUGGAGAUCGGGGGCCGCUGCUGAUUUAACUACGGGCCAAAGCCUGCAACGAGGUUUGGUG